Mytilus californianus (California mussel) is the source of this 586-nucleotide long non-coding RNA. RefSeq lists it as uncharacterized. The record is from RefSeq and is a predicted model, not a curated record. The transcript has 4 exons. Lineage: Eukaryota; Metazoa; Mollusca; Bivalvia; Mytilida; Mytilidae.
UCAUUUCUAUAUAAAUCAACAUGCUGCUUGGUUCUCCAUUCUUCAUUCCACUAAACAUGCUGAAUAUGUUUGCUGUUGUGUUUAGUUUAUUUGUCCUGUAUGGUGACGUCAUGAUUGCGAGAAGCCAUGCGGAUAGCCGUUCUGAAAAAUGCAGGUACCCAUUUCGGACAAUAGGGGAUAGCUGUUACUUAAUCAGCAAGGAGAAAGUGACUCCAGAUCAAGCAUUUGCAUUGUGUUUACGACGUGGUGCAUACCUAGCUAAUUUUGAGACUCUAGAAGAGGCCAUGUUAUUGAAGUAUGAACUUCAACUAAUGAAAACAGGUUUACACUUCCAUGUUGGCGGGCGAAACAUAAACAGAUACGUCCAUGGAGGAGACUAGAGAUGGAUAAAAAACGGCAAAAUGAUCAAGAUGGCGUACAAGGCUUUUGGUUCUGGUCAACCUGAGAGAUCAAAUCCUAGCCCACAAGACUGCAUGAUGUUUUAUGCAGGAGAAAGAUAUAUCUUUCACGAUGUAUACUGUGACUAUCCGUCAUGGAGCAGUGGUUAUAUCUGUGAGAAAUAAUAAAAUAAACAACUUUUGAUGAU